RNAcentral lists this ribosomal RNA (745 nucleotides) under uncultured Chloroflexota bacterium. RNAcentral describes it as "bacterial SSU rRNA". It matches the Rfam family "Bacterial small subunit ribosomal RNA", at positions 126 to 885 of the family's 1533-position model. The record is from RNAcentral. Lineage: Bacteria; Bacillati; Chloroflexota.
CUGCCCCGAAGAGGGGGAUAACCGCUGGAAACGGCGGCUAAUACCCCAUGUAGUCGUGAGGGUUAGAGGCCUCAUGAUUAAAGCUCCGGCGCUUUGGGAGGGGCCUGCGGCUUAUCAGCUAGUUGGUGGGGUAAUGGCUCACCAAGGCAAUGACGGGUAGCUGGUCUGAGAGGACGAUCAGCCACAUGGGCACUGAGACACGGGCCCGACUCCUACGGGAGGCAGCAGUGAGGGAUAUUGCGCAAUGGGCGAAAGCCUGACGCAGCAACGCCGCGUGGGCGAUGAAGGCCUUCGGGUUUGUAAAGCCCUUUUUCUGGGGGAAGAGGAAGGACGGUACCCCAGGAAUAAGUCCCGGCUAACUACGUGCCAGCAGCCGCGGUAAAACGUAGGGGACAAGUGUUAUCCGGAUUCACUGGGCGUAAAGCGCGUGCAGGUGGUGCUUUAAGUUGGGCGUGAAAUCUCCCGGCUUAACUGGGAGGAGUCGUUCAAUACUGGAGCACUUGAGGGCAGGAGAGGGAGGUGGAAUUCCCGGUGUAGUGGUGAAAUGCGUAGAUAUCGGGAGGAACACCAGUGGCGAAGGCGGCCUCCUGGCCUGCUUCUGACACUAAGACGCGAAAGCUAGGGGAGCAAACGGGAUUAGAUACCCCGGUAGUCCUAGCCGUAAACGAUGGAUACUAGGUGUGGGUGGCAUUGACCCCAUCCGUGCCGAAGCUAACGCGAUAAGUAUCCCGCCUGGGGACUACGG